CAAAACUGUUCGUGGGGUUUCUCUAAACUCUUUGCAUCUCGUCGCCUCUCACUCUCAUUUUUUUGUAUUUUCUCAGAUCUCAAACUAAAAUCAGUCAAAUGGAAGAUGAUGACAUUGUAAUUGCGGUUUUAUACAAUGGAACAUUGGUACAAAAUGAUAGUGGUGAUUGGGAAUAUCGAAAUGGUAAAAAUGUAAUGGUUUCCGUCGGCAAGAGAUGCACAAAAUCAGAGUUAGAGGACUGUGGCAUAUUUACACUCAAGACCAUCGAAUUCUUACAUGCUAGAUUACCAUUGACAUUCACACAAGAUAACAUGGAGUUCUUUAGGAAGAAGUAUGCAUAUGAGGUUUACAACAAAGAACUUAGCAUAUGAGCUGCGUGGUGAUGCUUUUUUCUUUCCUUUUUUCAUGUUUAUAGAUGCAUAUUAUUUAUUAUAUUUGACUUUUAAUUGUAAAUAUAAUGGUGGCUUAUAAUGUUCAUUUAACAAAGAUAACAAUGUGGUAUUGAUGUAAUGAUAAGUAAUUGACCUUA
Molecule: long non-coding RNA, 529 nt
Organism: Ziziphus jujuba (common jujube)
Lineage: Eukaryota; Viridiplantae; Streptophyta; Magnoliopsida; Rosales; Rhamnaceae
Exons: 2
Source: RefSeq, a predicted model, not a curated record